GCUACUACUGGGGCUUUGAACUGCCAUCUGUAACUGGGCACUUGGAUGGCAGGGAGCCAAUAGUGAAACCAACCUCUUUAAAU
RNAcentral lists this non-coding RNA (83 nucleotides) under unclassified sequences. Its description in RNAcentral is "c-di-GMP-II sequence". It matches the Rfam family "Cyclic di-GMP-II riboswitch aptamer". The record is from RNAcentral.